Molecule: long non-coding RNA, 439 nt
Filed under: Cricetulus griseus (Chinese hamster)
Lineage: Eukaryota; Metazoa; Chordata; Mammalia; Rodentia; Cricetidae
Description: lncRNA (ENSCGRG00015034317.1)
Source: RNAcentral
CUUGUUACAGACGUGUUCUAACGGUGCCUUUGAAGUGCCAGAAAAAAGUGAUUAGAGUCCUAAGCAGCAGAAACUUAAUGAGGUUAUUAGGCCUGUAGAUGUUGCGGGCAGUUAAUUGCCUACGUUCAAGUCUGGCACCCUAGUGGUUUUUUUGUUUGUUUGUUUUUUACUUGGUUUUGUUUUGCUAUGCAGUGUAGAGGCCGUGUACCUGUUUGAUGGUUUGAGUUGUGAAAGAAAAGGACGACUAGGGGCUUUUGCUGUUCAGACACAUAGAAAGAUGUGAAGACCAUAGCAUGAUUUGGUGACCCACAACCGACUUUUCUGGAUGGUCUCAUUGAACAUCAGUUUGAGCCAAGCUCCGGUUUUGUAAACUAACCAAAUCUCAAAAGAAUGAUAUAAAGAAUGAUCAACGUGAAUUUACUAUAGGAAUACAAACCUG